AAUCGGGUAAAUCGCAAUCGCGGU
RNAcentral lists this non-coding RNA (24 nucleotides) under Arabidopsis thaliana (thale cress). Lineage: Eukaryota; Viridiplantae; Streptophyta; Magnoliopsida; Brassicales; Brassicaceae. The record is from RNAcentral.